RNAcentral lists this ribosomal RNA (425 nucleotides) under uncultured bacterium. RNAcentral describes it as "bacterial SSU rRNA". It matches the Rfam family "Bacterial small subunit ribosomal RNA", at positions 354 to 796 of the family's 1533-position model. The record is from RNAcentral.
GUGGGGAAUAUUGCACAAUGGGGGAAACCCUGAUGCAGCGACGCCGCGUGAGUGAAGAAGUAUUUCGGUAUGUAAAGCUCUAUCGGCAGGGAAGAUAAUGACGGUACCUGACUAAGAAGCCCCGGCUAACUACGUGCCAGCAGCCGCGGUAAUACGUAGGGGGCAAGCGUUAUCCGGAUUUACUGGGUGUAAAGGGUGCGUAGGUGGCAAGGCAAGUCAGAUGUGAAAGCCCGGGGCUCAACCCCGGUAUUGCAUUUGAAACUGUUUAGCUAGAGUGCAGGAGAGGUAAGUGGAAUUCCUAGUGUAGCGGUGAAAUGCGUAGAUAUUAGGAGGAACACCAGUGGCGAAGGCGGCUUACUGGACUGUAACUGACACUGAGGCACGAAAGCGUGGGGAGCAAACAGGAUUAGAAACCCUUGUAGUCC